This is a small nucleolar RNA of Pteropus vampyrus (large flying fox), 76 nucleotides long. Lineage: Eukaryota; Metazoa; Chordata; Mammalia; Chiroptera; Pteropodidae. The record is from Ensembl.
CAUUAGAAGUGUUGCCAAAUCUGAGCAUUAGAAGUCCUUCUAAUCUAUGUGAUGCAGGAUCUCUGUAGUUCUGAGA